AAAUGAAUUGACGGGGGCCCGCACAAGCGGUGGAGCAUGUGGUUUAAUUCGAAGCAACGCGAAGAACCUUACCAGGUCUUGACAUCCUCUGAAAACCCUAGAGAUAGGGCUUCUCCUUCGGGAGCAGAGUGACAGGUGGUGCAUGGUUGUCGUCAGCUCGUGUCGUGAGAUGUUGGGUUAAGUCCCGCAACGAGCGCAACCCUUGAUCUUAGUUGCCAUCAUUAAGUUGGGCACUCUAAGGUGACUGCCGGUGACAAACCGGAGGAAGGUGGGGAUGACGUCAAAUCAUCAUGCCCCUUAUGACCUGGGCUACACACGUGCUACAAUGGACGGUACAAAGAGCUGCAAGACCGCGAGGUGGAGCUAAUCUCAUAAAACCGUUCUCAGUUCGGAUUGUAGGCUGCAACUCGCCUACAUGAAGCUGGAAUCGCUAGUAAUCGCGGAUCAGCAUGCUGCGGUGAAUACGUUCCCGGGGCCUGGUACACACCCGCCCGUAAUCGGAUCCCCGGGCCCGU
RNAcentral lists this ribosomal RNA (515 nucleotides) under Bacillus sp. REH-BCR3. Its description in RNAcentral is "bacterial SSU rRNA". It matches the Rfam family "Bacterial small subunit ribosomal RNA", at positions 903 to 1417 of the family's 1533-position model. The record is from RNAcentral. Lineage: Bacteria; Bacillati; Bacillota; Bacilli; Caryophanales; Bacillaceae.